AAUGAACGUUGGCGGCGUGGAUUAGGCAUGCAAGUCGAGCGGACGGAGGAGCUUGCUCCAAAGUUAGCGGCGGAAGGGAUAGUAACGCGUAGAUAACCAACCCCCUGGUCAGGGAUAGCCGUUGGAAACGACGGGUAAUACCUGAUAACAUCCCCGGAUCAAAGGUGCGAUUCCGCCGGGGGACGGGUCUGCGUCCUACUAGCUAGUUGGUGAGGUAACGGCUCACCAAGGCGACGAUGGGUACCGGGCGUCAGAGCGUGACCCGGAUCACUGGGACUGAGACACUGCCCAGACACCUACGGGUGGCUGCAGUCGAGAAUCUUCGGCAAUGGACGAAAGUCUGACCGAGCGACGCCGCGUGUAUGAUGAAGGCCUUCGGGUUGUAAAGUACUGUAAGUUGGGAGGAAGUGUAUGGGGGUUCUCCCCUAUAUUUGACCUAUCUUCAAAGUAAGCUCGGGCUAAGUUCGUGCCAGCAGCCGCAGUAACAC
This 488-nucleotide ribosomal RNA is filed under the name uncultured bacterium. Its description in RNAcentral is "bacterial SSU rRNA". It matches the Rfam family "Bacterial small subunit ribosomal RNA", at positions 29 to 526 of the family's 1533-position model. The record is from RNAcentral.